Molecule: long non-coding RNA, 1163 nt
Filed under: Dicentrarchus labrax (European seabass)
Lineage: Eukaryota; Metazoa; Chordata; Actinopteri; Moronidae
Description: lncRNA (ENSDLAG00005030017.1)
Source: RNAcentral
CCACUUUUCAUUGGUUGUUUUCAUUCAGGCCCGGUUGAUUCUUGUAAAUACCAUUAGGAGCACUAGGAGGAGCCAGAGGAUCCUGAUUGUUUCACAGAUUAUCUGUCUCACUUACCACUGUAGCCAGCGGAGUCAGGACAGCCAAGAUAGCGAUGUCCGGAACCGACCACACGGAUUUUCACAACAGCUCUCCAGAAACCUAUGGGUGACCUCACAGUGGCUCCGUCUAGUAUUUAUUAUACAGUCGAUGAAACGAACCACACAGGUACAGAGAAUAGGGCAAGAACCAUUAUCUGUUUGUCAAAAUGCCAGUGUCUUUAAAAUGGGUGCUUUCUGUAAUAUCUGUAAAGGGCAGCUAUGGCUUAAUUAAGGUAAGUUACAAAAAUUAAUAAAAAGUGUAACAUUGAUUGCAGGUGUGACAGGAUGAGGCACUUAAUAAGAGUACUAGUAGCUACAUACCAAUCCACCACCUCGACCUCUACACCCUUUCUUUCUGCCUCGCAGUGGAAGUAAAUCAAGAGGAUUUUAAGGUUUUACUUUAAGAUGUUGGCCUAUUUCUUCAAUAAUAGGUCCUGUGGUCUGUGGAUUAUGCAGGGAUUCUGGAAGGAGAUGUUACUCUAGGAUUUUUUUAAUCUUUUAGUGCUGAGAGCACAUCUUUCAUUCACCUCCACUGUAUUGUGGAGGCAGAGGUCCAAGAGACAGAUCAGCUCAAAACCUGUGCAAAUAAAAUCAAAUUGAAAUCCAGUCACCACUCGCGAUAAGUGAGAGUAUGUUCUUUUUUUCAUAAUUUAGGUGAACUGACCCUUUAAUUCCCCUGUGGUACAUUUCUGUAUACAGAAUUCAGGCUAACCUCUUCCUCUUUUAUCAUAUUCUGACAGAAACCCAGGCAACACGCAGCAAAGCUCAUUCACAGCUCGUACAUAUUUAUUUCACUUCUGAACAUGGAGGAAAUGGAUAUUUCACAUCCUUCAUCUUUCUAAAGACAAAUGAUGGAAUCUUCCACUAAUGGUAUUUAUGUUAUUAACCCAUUAAUGUCCACAGUGGAAUUCCCUUUACAGCAUUCAAUCCUUUGAACUCAAUACAAAUGGUCAGGCCGGUGUCCACGCCGGCAUUUUUUUGACUUAUUGUGAUGUAAUUUCUGUAAGUACCUUGAAAUUAUUUAU